This 464-nucleotide ribosomal RNA is filed under the name uncultured bacterium. Its description in RNAcentral is "bacterial SSU rRNA". It matches the Rfam family "Bacterial small subunit ribosomal RNA", at positions 8 to 507 of the family's 1533-position model. The record is from RNAcentral.
AGAGUUUGAUCAUGGCUCAGAACGAACGCUGGCGGCAGGCUUAACACAUGCAAGUCGAACGCGAAAUCACCUUCGGGUGGUGGAGAGUGGCAGACGGGUGAGUAACGCGUGGGAAUCUACCUGAUGGUACGGAAUAACUCAGGGAAACUUGAGCUAAUACCGUAUGUGCCCGAGAGGGGAAAGAUUUAUCGCCAUCAGAUGAGCCCGCGUCGGAUUAGCUAGUUGGUGGGGUAAAAGCCCACCAAGGCGACGAUCCGUAGCUGGUCUGAGAGGAUGAUCAGCCACACUGGGACUGAGACACGGCCCAGACUCCUACGGGAGGCAGCAGUGGGGAAUAUUGGACAAUGGGCGCAAGCCCUGAUCCAGCCAUGCCGCGUGAGUGAUGAAGGCCCUAGGGUUGUAAAGCUCUUUCGACGGGGACGAUAAUGACGGUACCCGUAGAAGAAGCCCCGGCUAACUUCGUG